UACGUAGGUGGCAAGCGUUGUCCGGAAUUACUGGGCGUAAAGCGCUCGUAGGCGGGCGCCUAAGUCGAUUGUGAAAGCCCUGGGCUUAACCUGGGAACUGCAGUCGAUACUGGGUGUCUAGAGUAUGGUAGAGGAUAGUGGAAUUCCCGGUGUAGCAGUGGAAUGCGUAGAUAUCGGGAGGAACACCAGUGGCGAAGGCGACUUUCUGGACCAAUACUGACGCUGAGGAGCGAAAGCGUGGGGAGCAAAC
RNAcentral lists this ribosomal RNA (250 nucleotides) under uncultured bacterium. Its description in RNAcentral is "partial 16S ribosomal RNA". It matches the Rfam family "Bacterial small subunit ribosomal RNA", at positions 524 to 773 of the family's 1533-position model. The record is from RNAcentral.